RNAcentral lists this non-coding RNA (30 nucleotides) under Rattus norvegicus (Norway rat). The record is from RNAcentral. Lineage: Eukaryota; Metazoa; Chordata; Mammalia; Rodentia; Muridae.
UAGAUUGAAGACGUCCAAGGUAGAGAUUUA